AGAGUUUGAUUAUGGCUCAGGAUGAACGCUAGCUACAGGCUUAACACAUGCAAGUCGAGGGGCAGCAUCAUCAAAGCUUGCUUUGAUGGAUGGCGACCGGCGCACGGGUGAGUAACACGUAUCCAACCUGCCGACAACACUGGGAUAGCCUUUCGAAAGAAAGAUUAAUACCGGAUGGCAUAAUUAUUCCGCAUGGGAUAAUUAUUAAAGAAUUUCGGUUGUCGAUGGGGAUGCGUUCCAUUAGGCAGUUGGCGGGGUAACGGCCCACCAAACCUACGAUGGAUAGGGGUUCUGAGAGGAAGGUCCCCCACAUUGGAACUGAGACACGGUCCAA
This 334-nucleotide ribosomal RNA is filed under the name uncultured bacterium. Its description in RNAcentral is "bacterial SSU rRNA". It matches the Rfam family "Bacterial small subunit ribosomal RNA", at positions 8 to 334 of the family's 1533-position model. The record is from RNAcentral.